GAAAAGCUGAUUGACUGACUGACAAAUCUAUAAACGCACAGCGCAAACUACUGGACGGAUCGGGCUUAAAUUUGGCAUGCAGAUAGCUAUUAUGGCGCACACAUCCGCUGAGAAAGGACUUUCGAAAAUUCAACCCCUAAGGGAGCAAAAUAGAGAUUUGAAAUUUGUGUAAUUCACAUGUGGGCAAAGAUGCGGGCAUA
Maniola jurtina (meadow brown) is the source of this 200-nucleotide long non-coding RNA. RefSeq lists it as uncharacterized. The record is from RefSeq and is a predicted model, not a curated record. The transcript has 3 exons. NCBI's taxonomy places the organism in Eukaryota, Metazoa, Arthropoda, Insecta, Lepidoptera, Nymphalidae.